Molecule: long non-coding RNA, 517 nt
Organism: Myotis myotis
Lineage: Eukaryota; Metazoa; Chordata; Mammalia; Chiroptera; Vespertilionidae
Exons: 4
Source: RefSeq, a predicted model, not a curated record
AAAAUGUCAGUGUAAAACAGGUACAGGGUGUCAUUAAAAUGUACAUCUGAGGACCUCAUCUUUGAAGGCAUGUCAGGAAAGGCUUUCUGAAAAAGUGACUUCAAGGUUAAUUCUGAAAGUCGAAGACAAAUUGGACAGAAAGAGGGAGAAAGUAUUUUCCAUAUAGAGAAUAUCUUCAGUAAAUCCUGAGGCAAGAACAGAUCAUGGCUACUUGGAAGGAUUAAAAUCAAACCAAUGUGACUAAACAAGUAUAGACAAUGGGUCAUUGGAUCAUACUAGGGACAGAUUUGGAGAACAAAUGAUCAUCUGCAGAAGUUUUCCUUCCUUUGAAUGAUCUCCCAAUCUCCUCAUAGUGAUGAGGAUGUUCUUUUGACAGUAUUAUCCUUAUGGCAGACCAGAAAGGACGGAAGGUCUGCAUCAACACGUCGGGAAGUCAAAGCGAACCUCUCUCAAAGUAGCAUAUUAGGCUCUAGGUUCAUUAGUCCAUUUGGGAAAUACUCUGUGGAUGUUGAGGUAA